CUAGUUGGUGGAAAGACAGCUACUUGUUGGAAAACAAGCAUCCACCUCAUCUCUGCACAUUCUGGACCAAGCUGUAAUGAAAUUUCUUGUGGCCUCAUCGUUUCUGGUCCAUCUCUCAUCCAUCUUCUGUAUUGCAUUUGAGAUGUUCUGUAGCCUCUCCUGAAGAGUUUCAAUGCUGAACUGAUGCCAUCCUAUCUUGUCGUAGGCGUAUGCUGAUAGCUCAUUCAGUUCCUCGUGCGACCAUAUGUCUAUUGAUCGUUGACGGUGCAAUACUGUCGAUCGAUUUGGAGCAUGCUAUGUCGAUCGAUGCUGAUAUCUGGUGUUGAGAUGCGAGUUGCCUUUGAAUGGCUUUGACUUCCUUCUGUAGCCACUCUGCUUGGCUAUCUAGUCCACCGAGUCUGACGUCGAAUGGAAAGUAGAUGUCAUCACACCGCUUCUCAAGUCGUUCCUCCAUGGUGUCUAUAGCAGUGUAAA
This 474-nucleotide long non-coding RNA is filed under the name Brassica napus (rape). RNAcentral describes it as "long non-coding RNA (BNAP_LNC024017)". Lineage: Eukaryota; Viridiplantae; Streptophyta; Magnoliopsida; Brassicales; Brassicaceae. The record is from RNAcentral.